AACUGGUUUGAAAAAAAAUUUUUAGUUCCCCUAAAGUAAAACUAACCCACAUAAUUACCCCAAUUACUUUAGAGCAAUUCAACUGAGGUACAGCCCAUUUGAUUUAGGAUCCAACCUUUACUAACGGGUAACACUUAAUUUACAUCUACAAGUAGGCCCAAGAGCAGCCACCUUUUAAAAAGCGUCAAAGCUUAACUUAGUGCAUCUUAAUCCAAAAACCCAUAUCGAACCCUUUUACCGUAUUGAGAAUUUCUAUAACACUAUAGAACCUUUUAUGCUAAAACUAGUAACAAGAGGACCACCCUCUCCUUAAUGCAAAUGUAAGCCAGCAAGAACUUAUCACCGGCAAUUAACAGCUCUAAACAAAAAUAGCAACCUUACCAGAAAAUCCUACUUUUAACCCCCUGUUAACCUAACACUAGAGCAUUUCAAGAAAGAUUAAAAGAAAAAGAAGGAACUCGGCAAACAUUAGCCUCGCCUGUUUACCAAAAACAUCGCCUCUUGCCCCCCCCCUAAGAGGUCCAGCCUGCCCAGUGACUUUGUUUAACGGCCGCGGUAUCCUAACCGUGCGAAGGUAGCGUAAUCACUUGUUUUUUAAAUGAAGACCAGUAUGAAAGGCAUCACGAGGGCUAAACUGUCUCCUCUCUCUAAUCAGUUAACCUGUUCUCCCCGUGAAGAAACGGGGAUUCUCCUAUAAGACGAGAAGACCCUAUGGAGCUUAAAACAUAAUAACACCUGCCACUACUCAUCAAGCAUUACGAUAACCUGCAGGAUGAUUAUAAGUUUUUGGUUGGGGUGACCGUGGAGAAAAUUUUAUCCUCCACAAUGAAAGGAAUAUAUUCCUAAACAAUAAGUUACAGCUUUACGUAUCAAAAAAUUGACAUCCAUUGACCCAAAAAAUUGAUCAACGAACCAAGUUACCCUAGGGAUAACAGCGCAAUCCACUUCGAGAGCUCUUAUCGACAAGUGGGCUUACGACCUCGAUGUUGGAUCGGGGUAUCCCAGUGGUGCAGCCGCUACUAAAGGUUCGUUUGUUCAACGAUUAAAACCCCACGUGAUCUGAGUUCAGACCGGAGCAAUCCAGGUCAGUUUCUAUCUAUAAUAGAGCUUUUUUUAGUACGAAAGGAUUAAAACAGCAUGGCCAAUACCCCCGCAAGCCAUAGUUGAUCAUUCUUGACCUCAACUUAAAAGAAUACAACCU
RNAcentral lists this ribosomal RNA (1201 nucleotides) under Pristimantis sp. QCAZ46974. Its description in RNAcentral is "partial large subunit ribosomal RNA". It matches the Rfam family "Bacterial large subunit ribosomal RNA", at positions 908 to 2814 of the family's 2925-position model. Lineage: Eukaryota; Metazoa; Chordata; Amphibia; Anura; Strabomantidae. The record is from RNAcentral.